GACUCUGGGCAACAGAUAUCUUGGCUCUCGCUUCAAUGAAGAACGUAGCGAAAUGUGAUACCUGGUGUGAAUUGCAGAAUCCCGUGAACCAUCGAGUCUUUGAAGACAAGUUGCGCCCGAGGCCACUCGGUCGAGGGCACGCCUGCCUGGGCGUCA
This 156-nucleotide ribosomal RNA is filed under the name Triticum aestivum (bread wheat). RNAcentral's name for it is "rRNA 5_8S_rRNA". It matches the Rfam family "5.8S ribosomal RNA". From Rfam's summary of the family: 5.8S ribosomal RNA (5.8S rRNA) is a component of the large subunit of the eukaryotic ribosome. It is transcribed by RNA polymerase I as part of the 45S precursor that also contains 18S and 28S rRNA. Functionally, it is thought that 5.8S rRNA may be involved in ribosome translocation. The record is from RNAcentral. Lineage: Eukaryota; Viridiplantae; Streptophyta; Magnoliopsida; Poales; Poaceae.